CCCGGGAAACUGGGUCUAAUACCGGAUAUGACUUUUGACCGCAUGGUUGAGGGUGGAAAGAUUUAUCGGUUGGGGAUGGACUCGCGGCCUAUCAGCUUGUUGGUGAGGUAAUGGCUCACCAAGGCGACGACGGGUAGCCGGCCUGAGAGGGUGACCGGCCACACUGGGACUGAGACACGGCCCAGACUCCUACGGGAGGCAGCAGUGGGGAAUAUUGCACAAUGGGCGCAAGCCUGAUGCAGCGACGCCGCGUGAGGGAUGACGGCCUUCGGGUUGUAAACCUCUUUCAGUAGGGAAGAAGCGAAAGUGACGGUACCUGCAGAAGAAGCGCCGGCUAACUACGUGCCAGCAGCCGCGGUAAUACGUAGGGCGCAAGCGUUAUCCGGAUUUAUUGGGCGUAAAGAGCUCGUAGGCGGUUUGUCGCGUCUAUCGUGAAAGUCCGAGGCUCAACCUCGGAUCUGCGGUGGGUACGGGCAGACUAGAGUGAUGUAGGGGAGACUGGAAUUCCUGGUGUAGCGGUGAAAUGCGCAGAUAUCAGGAGGAACACCGAUGGCGAAGGCAGGUCUCUGGGCAUUUACUGACGCUGAGGAGCGAAAGCAUGGGGAGCGAACAGGAUUAGAUACCCUGGUAGUCCAUGCCGUAAACGUUGGGCACUAGGUGUGGGGGACAUUCCACGUUUUCCGCGCCGUAGCUAACGCAUUAAGUGCCCCGCCUGGGGAGUACGGCCGCAAGGCUAAAACUCAAAGGAAUUGACGGGGGCCCGCACAAGCGGCGGAGCAUGCGGAUUAAUUCGAUGCAACGCGAAGAACCUUACCAAGGCUUGACAUGUUCCAGAUCGCCUCAGAGAUGGGGUUUCCCUUCGGGGCUGGUUCACAGGUGGUGCAUGGUUGUCGUCAGCUCGUGUCGUGAGAUGUUGGGUUAAGUCCCGCAACGAGCGCAACCCUCGUUCCAUGUUGCCAGCGGGUUAUGCCGGGGACUCAUGGGAGACUGCCGGGGUCAACUCGGAGGAAGGUGGGGAUGACGUCAAAUCAUCAUGCCCCUUAUGUCUUGGGCUUCACGCAUGCUACAAUGGCCGGUACAAUGGGUUGCGAUACUGUGAGGUGGAGCUAAUCCCUAAAAGCCGGUCUCAGUUCGGAUUGGGGUCUGCAACUCGACCCCAUGAAGUCGGAGUCGCUAGUAAUCGCAGAUCAGCAACGCUGCGGU
Molecule: ribosomal RNA, 1203 nt
Filed under: Arthrobacter sp. BM-Y
Lineage: Bacteria; Bacillati; Actinomycetota; Actinomycetes; Micrococcales; Micrococcaceae
Description: bacterial SSU rRNA
Rfam family: Bacterial small subunit ribosomal RNA
Source: RNAcentral